UCUACGGGAGGCAGCAGUAGGGAAUCUUCCACAAUGGGCGCAAGCCUGAUGGAGCAACACCGCGUGAGUGAAGAAGGGUUUCGGCUCGUAAAGCUCUGUUGUUAGAGAAGAACGUGCGUGAGAGCAACUGUUCAUGCAGUGACUGUAUCUGACCAGAAAGUCACGGCUAACUACGUGCCAGCAGCCGCGGUAAUA
This 195-nucleotide ribosomal RNA is filed under the name uncultured Lactobacillus sp. RNAcentral describes it as "partial 16S ribosomal RNA". It matches the Rfam family "Bacterial small subunit ribosomal RNA", at positions 338 to 525 of the family's 1533-position model. Lineage: Bacteria; Bacillati; Bacillota; Bacilli; Lactobacillales; Lactobacillaceae. The record is from RNAcentral.